UUUCAUUUUUCUCAUUUUCAUGUUGGAAAUUGUUUACACCCUACAUACAUACGUACACUAACUUACAUAGUGGUACAAUGUGUUUGAUGUUGCAUAACCUUAUUAUUUUUUUUUUUUUCCAUUUCAGACCCCUUUGAUAGUGACAGUGACCCAGAUGACCCUGAGCCUUUCCAUGGUUUUGAUGCCUCGCCCUAUACAUCAGAUGUAGAUGUUCCCUCAUCAGUUGAUACGAGUAUCACCUCUCCAGAGCCCAAAUCAGUUGAUACGAGUAGUAUCACCUCUCCCAUUCCUUCAGACUCCCAAGCACCUGCCCAUCCCACUCCAUAGCCCAGCCACCCACUCUCAUGUACCAUAUGGCCAUCCCAGUAAGCAAGCCAACCACUAGAAUUUGACUGGCAUGCACCUGUGACUUACAUAAACCAGACCUCUACAUAGCCUACAUGUCUUCAUUUUGCUGAAGACUGCCCAUCAUCCUAGCCUGUUAUCUGUGAUAAAGCACACUGAAGUUAGGUUUGGAAUGCAUCCUUAUCAUGAAUGCUCUACACCUCCACCUCCAUCUCCCACAACCUAGGUAACAGCUUUGAGACUCACUAAAAGUUGAACCCCCUGAAUGAUGUAGGCUAUGGGGCCACAUAAGACUUUGUCCAUCCAGGGUUACAUUGAAUGCCAAAUAUAAACUAAAGAACCAACAUUUUUCACACAACUCCAGGUUGUUACUACAAGUGUCAUCAAGGGAUAACUACUACAAGUAGAAGCACCAUUUUUGGAUGGAAAAAACCCUUCAGGAAAGUAUACGUAUCACAUGUAACAUGUAGUGUAACAAAGUAUGAACAGUAAGGUUUUUACAUACAGUAGUACAUAUUACAUACGUACAUAACUUUUUUUUACAGGAAUUUCCAACCAAGUUUGAUUAUGUACAUAUGUACAUGUUAAUAAACCGACUGUACGUAUGGUUACUGUAUGUAACUUACUAAACAUACAUAACAUGACUUAACUUUGAUACUUUUUUGGUACAUUCCAGAAAACCAGGACCCCCUCCAUGAUGCAGGCUAUGGGGCCACAUAAAACUUUGUCCAGGGUUACUACAUAACAUAAAGAACCCCCUGAAUGAUGUAGGCUAUGGGGCCACAUAAGACUUUGUCCAUCCAGGGUUACGAUGAAUGCCAAAUUUAAACUAAAGAACCCCCUGAAUGAUGUAGGCUAUGGGGCCACAUAAGACUUUGUCCAUCCAGGGUUACGAUGAAUGCCAAAUUUAAACUAAAGAGCUACCAGACUGGGAUUUUAGUGUACUCCAGGAUCUAACAAAUACAUACGUACUACUACGAAGUGUGCAGUGCAUAAUAUAUAGUGUUUAGUGUAUAAUCUAACCUAAGGAUUAAGUGUAGUACAUUGUGCUUUUUAGUGUCACAAGAGUUUAAUAAAGAAUUAUACCUUCAAGAACCAUCCUUUGCCAUUGGAAUAACCACACUACACAUCAUGCAAUCUACUUGCAUGUCACACAGGUAAGGUCUCUAACUUUUUCUUAGUUUAAGGCAUAUUUCCAAGUGUCGUUCCGGCUUACGACGAUUUUCGGCUUACGACGCGCCUCAAGAACGGAACCCCCGUCGUAACCCGGGGAC
Macrobrachium nipponense is the source of this 1619-nucleotide long non-coding RNA. RefSeq lists it as uncharacterized. The record is from RefSeq and is a predicted model, not a curated record. The transcript is spliced from 10 exons. NCBI's taxonomy places the organism in Eukaryota, Metazoa, Arthropoda, Malacostraca, Decapoda, Palaemonidae.